Molecule: long non-coding RNA, 309 nt
Organism: Onychomys torridus (southern grasshopper mouse)
Lineage: Eukaryota; Metazoa; Chordata; Mammalia; Rodentia; Cricetidae
Exons: 3
Source: RefSeq, a predicted model, not a curated record
GCGGCCUCCCCGCGCGCCGCGCUCUCCGCCUCCGCCCGCCAAGCCCCGCGGAAGAGAAAUAAGGACGGCCGCCUCUCCGGCCCUCACCCCCGGCAGCCAGGGGUCCUGAUGAUUGCCACAGAUGGGAACCCUAGAUUGUGGAUAUAAGAACAGAGGAGGGAAGGCAUUAUCCUGGUGUGUGCCCAUCAGUAAAGUUUUGUGGAGGCCAAGAUACUCUCCACAUGAUCCACAGGAGGUACAACCCAAUGCAUCUAGUGUGCAGCCAUAGGAGGACACUGUGGCAUAUGACCCUGAAGAUAAAAAUAUCAA